GAUGAACGCUGGCGGCGUGCCUAAUACAUGCAAGUCGAGCGAACAGACGAGGAGCUUGCUCCUCUGACGUUCGCGGCGGACGGGUGAGUAACACGUGGAUAACCUACCUAUAAGACUGGGAUAACUUCGGGAAACCGGAGCUAAUACCGGAUAACAUGUUGAACCGCAUGGUUCAACAGUGAAAGACGGUCUUGCUGUCACUUAUAGAUGGAUCCGCGCCGCAUUAGCUAGUUGGUAAGGUAACGGCUUACCAAGGCAACGAUGCGUAGCCGACCUGAGAGGGUGAGCGGCCACACGGGAACUGAGACACGGUCCAGACUACUACGGGAGGCAGCAGUAGGGAAUCGUCAGCAAUGGGGGAAAGCCUGAAGGAGCAAAGCCGCGUGAGUGAGGAAGGUCUUCGGAUCGUAAAACUAUGUUAUUAGGGAAAAACAAAUGUGUAAGUAAAUAUGCACGUCAUGACGGGACCUAAUCAGAAAGCAACGGCUAACUACGUG
RNAcentral lists this ribosomal RNA (497 nucleotides) under uncultured bacterium. Its description in RNAcentral is "partial 16S ribosomal RNA". It matches the Rfam family "Bacterial small subunit ribosomal RNA", at positions 28 to 507 of the family's 1533-position model. The record is from RNAcentral.